Molecule: ribosomal RNA, 2223 nt
Filed under: Escherichia coli
Lineage: Bacteria; Pseudomonadati; Pseudomonadota; Gammaproteobacteria; Enterobacterales; Enterobacteriaceae
Description: partial 23S ribosomal RNA
Rfam family: Bacterial large subunit ribosomal RNA
Source: RNAcentral
UGUAUAAUGGGUCAGCGACUUAUAUUCUGUAGCAAGGUUAACCGAAUAGGGGAGCCGAAGGGAAACCGAGUCUUAACUGGGCGUUAAGUUGCAGGGUAUAGACCCGAAACCCGGUGAUCUAGCCAUGGGCAGGUUGAAGGUUGGGUAACACUAACUGGAGGACCGAACCGACUAAUGUUGAAAAAUUAGCGGAUGACUUGUGGCUGGGGGUGAAAGGCCAAUCAAACCGGGAGAUAGCUGGUUCUCCCCGAAAGCUAUUUAGGUAGCGCCUCGUGAAUUCAUCUCCGGGGGUAGAGCACUGUUUCGGCAAGGGGGUCAUCCCGACUUACCAACCCGAUGCAAACUGCGAAUACCGGAGAAUGUUAUCACGGGAGACACACGGCGGGUGCUAACGUCCGUCGUGAAGAGGGAAACAACCCAGACCGCCAGCUAAGGUCCCAAAGUCAUGGUUAAGUGGGAAACGAUGUGGGAAGGCCCAGACAGCCAGGAUGUUGGCUUAGAAGCAGCCAUCAUUUAAAGAAAGCGUAAUAGCUCACUGGUCGAGUCGGCCUGCGCGGAAGAUGUAACGGGGCUAAACCAUGCACCGAAGCUGCGGCAGCGACGCUUAUGCGUUGUUGGGUAGGGGAGCGUUCUGUAAGCCUGCGAAGGUGUGCUGUGAGGCAUGCUGGAGGUAUCAGAAGUGCGAAUGCUGACAUAAGUAACGAUAAAGCGGGUGAAAAGCCCGCUCGCCGGAAGACCAAGGGUUCCUGUCCAACGUUAAUCGGGGCAGGGUGAGUCGACCCCUAAGGCGAGGCCGAAAGGCGUAGUCGAUGGGAAACAGGUUAAUAUUCCUGUACUUGGUGUUACUGCGAAGGGGGGACGGAGAAGGCUAUGUUGGCCGGGCGACGGUUGUCCCGGUUUAAGCGUGUAGGCUGGUUUUCCAGGCAAAUCCGGAAAAUCAAGGCUGAGGCGUGAUGACGAGGCACUACGGUGCUGAAGCAACAAAUGCCCUGCUUCCAGGAAAAGCCUCUAAGCAUCAGGUAACAUCAAAUCGUACCCCAAACCGACACAGGUGGUCAGGUAGAGAAUACCAAGGCGCUUGAGAGAACUCGGGUGAAGGAACUAGGCAAAAUGGUGCCGUAACUUCGGGAGAAGGCACGCUGAUAUGUAGGUGAGGUCCCUCGCGGAUGGAGCUGAAAUCAGUCGAAGAUACCAGCUGGCUGCAACUGUUUAUUAAAAACACAGCACUGUGCAAACACGAAAGUGGACGUAUACGGUGUGACGCCUGCCCGGUGCCGGAAGGUUAAUUGAUGGGGUUAGCGCAAGCGAAGCUCUUGAUCGAAGCCCCGGUAAACGGCGGCCGUAACUAUAACGGUCCUAAGGUAGCGAAAUUCCUUGUCGGGUAAGUUCCGACCUGCACGAAUGGCGUAAUGAUGGCCAGGCUGUCUCCACCCGAGACUCAGUGAAAUUGAACUCGCUGUGAAGAUGCAGUGUACCCGCGGCAAGACGGAAAGACCCCGUGAACCUUUACUAUAGCUUGACACUGAACAUUGAGCCUUGAUGUGUAGGAUAGGUGGGAGGCUUUGAAGUGUGGACGCCAGUCUGCAUGGAGCCGACCUUGAAAUACCACCCUUUAAUGUUUGAUGUUCUAACGUUGACCCGUAAUCCGGGUUGCGGACAGUGUCUGGUGGGUAGUUUGACUGGGGCGGUCUCCUCCUAAAGAGUAACGGAGGAGCACGAAGGUUGGCUAAUCCUGGUCGGACAUCAGGAGGUUAGUGCAAUGGCAUAAGCCAGCUUGACUGCGAGCGUGACGGCGCGAGCAGGUGCGAAAGCAGGUCAUAGUGAUCCGGUGGUUCUGAAUGGAAGGGCCAUCGCUCAACGGAUAAAAGGUACUCCGGGGAUAACAGGCUGAUACCGCCCAAGAGUUCAUAUCGACGGCGGUGUUUGGCACCUCGAUGUCGGCUCAUCACAUCCUGGGGCUGAAGUAGGUCCCAAGGGUAUGGCUGUUCGCCAUUUAAAGUGGUACGCGAGCUGGGUUUAGAACGUCGUGAGACAGUUCGGUCCCUAUCUGCCGUGGGCGCUGGAGAACUGAGGGGGGCUGCUCCUAGUACGAGAGGACCGGAGUGGACGCAUCACUGGUGUUCGGGUUGUCAUGCCAAUGGCACUGCCCGGUAGCUAAAUGCGGAAGAGAUAAGUGCUGAAAGCAUCUAAGCACGAAACUUGCCCCGAGAUGAGUUCUCCCUG